This 112-nucleotide ribosomal RNA is filed under the name Priestia flexa. RNAcentral's name for it is "Bacillus flexus partial 16S ribosomal RNA". It matches the Rfam family "Bacterial small subunit ribosomal RNA", at positions 1 to 106 of the family's 1533-position model. Lineage: Bacteria; Bacillati; Bacillota; Bacilli; Caryophanales; Bacillaceae. The record is from RNAcentral.
UUCUUCGGAGAGUUUGAUCCUGGCUCAGGAUGAACGCUGGCGGCGUGCCUAAUACAUGCAAGUCGAGCGAACUGAUUAGAAGCUUGCUUCUAUGACGUUAGCGGCGGACGGG